RNAcentral lists this ribosomal RNA (253 nucleotides) under uncultured bacterium. RNAcentral's name for it is "partial 16S ribosomal RNA". It matches the Rfam family "Bacterial small subunit ribosomal RNA", at positions 524 to 776 of the family's 1533-position model. The record is from RNAcentral.
UACGUAGGGUGCGAGCGUUGUCCGGAAUUAUUGGGCGUAAAGCGCGUGUAGGCGGUCCGGUAAGUCCGCUGUGAAAGUCGAGGGCUCAACCCUCGAAUGCCGGUGGAUACUGUCGGGCUUGAGUACGGGAGAGGCGAGUGGAAUUCCUGGUGUAGCGGUGAAAUGCGCAGAUAUCGGGAAGAACACCGGUGGCGAAGGCGGCUCGCUGGGCCGUUGCUGACGCUGAGGCGCGAAAGCGUGGGGAGCAAACAGG